CCUACGGGAGGCAGCAGUGAGGAAUAUUGGUCAAUGGGCGCGAGCCUGAACCAGCCAAGUCGCGUGAAGGAUGACGGCCCUACGGGUUGUAAACUUCUUUUGUCAAGGAGCAAUUGAGUCCACGUGUGGGCUUAGCGAGAGUACCUGAAGAAAAAGAAUCGGCUAACUCCGUGCCAGCAGCCGCGGUAAUACGGAGGAUGCGAGCGUUAUCCGGAUUUAUUGGGUUUAAAGGGUGCGUAGGCGGAAUAUCAAGUCAGCGGUAAAAAUUCGGGGCUCAACCCAGUCGUGCCGUUGAAACUGAUGGUCUUGAGUGGGCGAGAAGUAUGCGGAAUGCGUGGUGUAGCGGUGAAAUGCAUAGAUAUCACGCAGAACUCCGAUUGCGAAGGCAGCAUACCAGCGCCCAACUGACGCUGAAGCACGAAAGCGUGGGUAUCGAACAGGAUUAGAUACCCUAGUAGUC
RNAcentral lists this ribosomal RNA (460 nucleotides) under uncultured bacterium. RNAcentral's name for it is "partial 16S ribosomal RNA". It matches the Rfam family "Bacterial small subunit ribosomal RNA", at positions 338 to 795 of the family's 1533-position model. The record is from RNAcentral.